This is a long non-coding RNA of Marmota monax (woodchuck), 708 nucleotides long. RefSeq lists it as uncharacterized. Lineage: Eukaryota; Metazoa; Chordata; Mammalia; Rodentia; Sciuridae. The record is from RefSeq and is a predicted model, not a curated record. The transcript has 4 exons.
CUGGGGGAGUCGGAAAACUUUAAGGAGGAAAGAGCUUGAGGGCAACUUGGGAAGAAAAUUACUAAUCCUGAAAAAGGUAUUUGGUCAUCCCAUGCAUCACGCCUGACUUCAACUUAUUGUGAGAGGCAUUUGUGGUCAUGAAAAGAAGUUGUUUUGGCUACUCAGAGACCCUUGAAAUUCCAUAUGAAUUUAAGAGUCACAUCAUCAAUUUCUGCAAAACAACCAAUAAGUUUGACACAUCUAGAAGUAACAGUGGCUGUUGUGUGGAGAAUAUGUUAUAGAGAAACCAGGUAUUUAUCCACAAUAAAUGAAAGCAUAUGUCUACUUAAAGACCUACAAAAGCUUUAUUUUUAAGAGUCCUAAACUGGAAAUAACCCACAUGCCCAUCAACAGAGGAAUGGAUAAACAAACUGUUGUAUAAGUAAUACUCAGCAAUAAAGAAAAAUGAACCGUUUCUGCAUGCUGCGGCAACAUGGAUGACUCUCACAAUUUUUAUUCUGUGUGAAAGAAACAAAAGAGAGAGUACAUAUUGAAUUAUUUCAUUCAUAAGAUUUCUAUAAAAUGAGCCAGGCACCAUUACUUGCAUCUAUAGUUUAAGCUACUUGGAAGGCUGAGGCAGGAGGAUCACUUGAACCCAGGAGUUUGAGGCCAUCCUGGGCAACAUAGUAAGACCCCAUCUCAACAAAUAUUAGAAAAUGGAAAUGCAAA